RNAcentral lists this long non-coding RNA (4809 nucleotides) under Pan troglodytes (chimpanzee). Its description in RNAcentral is "long non-coding RNA NONPTRT006165". The record is from RNAcentral. Lineage: Eukaryota; Metazoa; Chordata; Mammalia; Primates; Hominidae.
CUGCGGGCGACGCCGGGAUUUUGGUUUGGGUAACUGGGUAGAUGGGGGCGCCAUUAUCGCGCUUCUCUUGCAGGGGGCCGGUGAAGGUUAUACGAGAGGCUCCAUCUGUCCUUAUUGAAAGUGCUCUUAACGCAGGGACCAGCCUUCUUGCUGACGCCUGGGCCACCGAGCACAGGGACAGGACGGGGUUGCUGGAGGUGCAAGCUGGGAGAAAGCAGAGAACUGACUCCAUGCAGAGUUGGGAUUAAGAGCCCCUGGACAAGGGGCCAAGGCAGUGAAGGACGUCCAUCACUCAUCUGCCACUAUCCUCCUCACAUUUAAUCCUCACAACACCCCUGUGAGGUUUAUCCGCUUCACCUGUUGCUGGGGAACACUGCUCUCCGGGGGACUUGGGGGACGACACUGUAAACAUGACUUCCUGGCCUGAUGGUGGCAGGGCUGUGUGUGCGAGUCACUGUCCAGGGACAGCACUGAGGUAGGUCGGGGCAGGGCCCCCAAGCCACCGUCCACGGAGCUUGUGGGACUUGCGGUGCUGACGGAGGAGUACCCUGAGGUCGUGACAUCCUUCCCUGGCUCCCGGCUGGUGCGGACCAGGGGUUUGGGUCCAGGGGUUGCAGGGAUCUGGGUGUCCAGCGCCAGUGCCUGUGGGUCCUGGGGUCCCUUGUCCUCUGGGCAAGCCUCCUCAUCACUGGAUUCCUGGCAGCAAUGCUGUUCUGGGUUCAGGUAGACCACGGUGACAUCGAGGAUGCCGCUGGGAGCUGUCACUGCAGGAAGGUUGGUGGGGAGGGAAGUCAUGUCACACCCAAGCAUCAGGGGAGACCCCCUGCCAGGUCAGGACCCUGAAGUCCAGGUCAAGAAUCUUCUACCUUGCUACGGUCCCCUGUGUUACCCUCCUGUGGUGAGAAGCGUGGGUGACAUGCCUCUUCCAAGUUGGACAGCUGCCCGCCAUGACUCCAACAAAUGUGGAGAUGACAAGUUGGCCAUCUAGCUCAAGCCAAGUGGACGCAGAAGCAAGCAACCGGGAAACUGACAAGACUCACACUAACUGGGCUUCUGGCAAGGACCCCGCAGUCUGCCUGGGGUUUGCACAGGGCAGUGAUCCCAGCAGGGCAGUGAGGAGUGUCACGUAUACCACGUGGGCACACCUCAAACAACAUUCUAGAAAGAACGCCCAGGCUAGAGUGCAGUGGCAUGAUCACGGCUCACUGCAGCUCCCACCUCCUGUGCUCAAGAGAUCCUCCCACCUCAGCCUCCUGAGUAGCUGGGACCACAGGCGCACGCCACGACGCCCAGCUAAUUUUUAAAUUUUUUGUCUUGCUCUGUCACCCAGGCUGGUCUUGAACUUCUAGCCUGGAGUGAUCCUCCUGCCUCAGCCUCUCAAAUUGCUGGGAUUACAGGCCUGAGAUUACGGGCCUAGAAGGAUCUCCAUGAACUCUAGACAGGGUCUCUGCCUCCCUCAUCCUAGUGAGGUCCUCCCAACACGGAAUGAGCAGGAGCCGGAUAGGUGUGGCCUAAGUCCUCUCAUCCCCGUGUGGGAGCAGCUGUGGUCUUUUGGGGGCUCUCCCCUCCUCUCUCCCCAUGUCUGGACACACUCCCCGGCGGGGCAGGAGCUGGCCCCACCCCGCACUCUGUGCACAUCUUCCUCCCACAGCGCUCGCACAGGGCCAGGUGCCCUGAGGCCCUCGGUGACAGCCACCCUCUGUGUGAUGUCCCUUCUGGUGCGCCCUGGCCCCACACUCACCAUCGCCCUCCUUCUCGCCCUCACUCUCCUGGUCGCCUUCAUAGCCAGAGCAGCAGUCCAGGCUCCAGUCGAGGAAGCUGCCCAGCAGCGUCUCCUCCUGGCUGGACAGCUCCGCAGUGGGGGUGGUAACGAAGCUGCCCCUGUCUUCCUGGAGGCUGUUCUCCCGCUUCCUGUAAGGUGGAGAGCCCAGGAGACCCAGUCAUGGACGGCGGCACUGGGAGGCCAGGCCCGCCACACCUGCCUCUAACACCCGCAUGCCCCAGCCUGUCACCACAUGCUCCCAAAGGGUCUGCUGCGAAGAAAAUGCCGGUAAAGCUAGAACAGGUAUAAGCCCUUUAGGCAGGGCCAACCUGGAGGACCCCGCUCAGGCAAACUCAGGCCCCAGGUCUGGGUGUGAAGCCCAGCCCACUUGGCUCAGCUGUGGGGCGUGGGCCAACCAUCUGGUCCCCUGGAAACCCCUAGGAUGAUGCCACCUUCCACUGUUUUUUUUUUUUUUUUUUCAGGUGGUCUUGCUCUGUCACCCAGGCUAAAGUACAGUGGUGUGAUCUUGGCUCACUGCAACCUCCACCUCCCAGGUUCAAGUGAGUCUCCUGCCUCAGGCUCCUGAGUAGCUGGGACUACAGAUGCCCGCCAUCACACCCAGCUAAUUUUUAUAUUUUUAGUAGAGAUGGGGUUUCACCAUGAUGGCCAGGUUGGUCUCGAACUCCUAACCUCAGGUGAUCCACCCACCUCAGCCUCCCAAAGUGCUGGGAUUACAGGCAUGAGCCACUGCGCCCAGCCCCUCUGGUGUUGAUUAAUAAGGUGCAGGCAGUGCUUAGCCCGGCGCCAGGCAGAUUGCAUGGAAUGGCCUGGCCUUGGGCGGUGCUGACACCCACACCCAAGUGGGGUCAAAUCUUGCUCAGGAUGGGGCUGGAGGCCAGUGUGUGGGCCUCAGCCUGCGAAAAGCCACCACACCAGCUGAGCCUUUCCACUUCCUGACCCCAGGGCCUGGUGGAGGAGGGGGGUGGAGACAGCUACCCCAGUGUCACCCCUGGGGGUCUGUUUCAGAAGACUGAUGGGGCUGUGGGGGGCCUCUGAGAAGCGGGUUUAACACAGCGAGGCUGAGCACAGGGCCAGGCCCCCUCCUGGAGUAGCCGUGCGUAUCUGCAUGGACUUUCCUCCUGAUGACCCUGGCCCCAGGGAGUCGGCGCAUGUGUGGAGUGACACAGGAGGGUCAGGUCUCCUGCCUUCCACACAAUGGAAAGUGCUGUCAUGCUUCUUGGGGAGGAAGCAGCAGCAGGGGCUUCGGCUGCUUCCCCAGGGCUCCCCAGGAGUUGCGGUCUCCUGCCAGGAGCCCACUCCCGACACAACGCUCCUGGAGGCAGCCCUGCCUGGUCCUAUAUUGACAGGAAAGACCCAGCCACCCAGUGCCCGCCCUUGGGAAGGUUACGGGUGCACACGGUGCUGAGCAGUCACGGCGCAGGGCCAGCAGCACGGGGAGGGCCCUGUUCAUCGGGGCCUUGUGGAAUCAGUAGGAGUUCUCCAGGCGGGUGAGGUAGAAAGAGGAAGUUAACUCCAGGAGGAACAGCCAAGGUGCUGAGAUAGGAGAGGCAGGUAAACAGGUCCACACGGGUGGCGAGGGAAGUGCUGGGGAUGUGACUCAGGUCACAACUCGAGUGCCGGGAGUGACAGCAGCAUCAUGGAGCAGAGAAGUCCAGGACGCGCAUGACAGGCACGGGCAGGGCUAGAGCCAGGCUGGGCUCCCGCGUGCUCGAAACCAUCUUCCUCCACAGGGAGCCCAGUCAGAGCGAGAGGCAAUAGCCUCUGAGGAAGGAGACCUGGGCUGGAGACAGUGGAGGUUACGCAGGGGCCCGAGGCAUGACUGCAGGGCUCCGUCCCAGGGUCACUGUCCUGGGAUCUGCUGCUCCCCUGACAAGCCUUGGGGGCCUCUCUGUGUGAGGAAGCGCUGAGGGAACUGGGCCGGCACGAGGAUGCCAGCAUUGUAUGGCGCAGCCAGAACGCAGGGUAACUAACCGUUUGGUUCUUCGCCCCGAGGGAGAGCUGAGGAAGGCGUGGAUCUCCCCUGUGCUGAGGAAAGUCGGGGGGUCGGGGCUGUCUUGUGUCACUCCUAAUGCAGCACACAACUGGCUGUAGCUCAGCACCUGAGGGGAAGCCAGAGUUAGGGGGUGCAGAGGCCCCGAGGGUGAGGCCCACCCACACCCCAGCACCCCAUGAGAUGCCCAGGUGGCGGGAGGGAGGCACCUCUUCCUGGCUGAUUUCUCCGUAGCGCUUGUCCUCAAACCGCUGCUUCACGGCGGUCAGAGAGACUUGCCUGUAGUCCUUGGGGGCGUCAUCGUGGAAGCUGGAAACAGAGUCACGUGGAGUGGACAUGUGAGGCACCCCCACCCCAUUUUUAGCUUCAGUUCACUGAAGUGAGCAAUGAGAAUGCAAAAUGGUGCAGUCACUCUGGAAUCUGACCUGGCAGUUCCCAGAAUGGUUAAACUCAGUCACCACAGGACCUAGCAAUUCCUCUCUAGGUAAAGACCCAGGAAAAAGGAAAAACUAUGUCCACACAGAAACCUGUACUAGAAUGUUCAUGGCAGGACUGUUCACAAUAGGCAAAAUGUCCACCAGCUGCGGGAUGGAUAAACACAUGUGGUCCAUGCAGGGGACUAUUAUUCAGCCAUGAAAAGGAACAAAGCAGGGACACAUGCCACAUGGACAAACCCAGCAAACGUUACAGCGAGGGAAAUCACCUAGACACAAAAGGCCACUUGUCCGAUGACGCCAUUUAUAUGGAAUGUCCAGAAUGGGAAAAAUCCAUGGACUGAAAGUAGACUACUGGGGGUCAUCUAGCGCUGAGGAAGUUGGGGGGAACGGGAGGGUGACAGCUGAGGGGUGUGUUGUCCCUUUGAGGAAAGUGAAAAUGUCGUCAAUUUGAUUGUUGUGAUGACAAGCACAACUGUGUGAAUACAAGCCCAUUAAAUCACACAAUCAAAGGAAGUGUAGUUUCUAAAUAACGUUUCUAAUUUAUCUGGUUUGGAAAAAAAAUUAACUUCUUCAGGAGGAAGAGAAUAAACGCAGCCCAG